This 1036-nucleotide ribosomal RNA is filed under the name bacterium 141802. RNAcentral's name for it is "bacterial SSU rRNA". It matches the Rfam family "Bacterial small subunit ribosomal RNA", at positions 58 to 1434 of the family's 1533-position model. The record is from RNAcentral.
GCAGUCGAGCGGCAGCACGGGGAGCUUGCUCCCUGGUGGCGAGCGGCGGACGGGUGAGUAAUGCAUAGGAAUCUGCCCGGUAGUGGGGGAUAACCUGGGGAAACCCAGGCUAAUACCGCAUACGUCCUACGGGAGAAAGCGGGGGCUCUUCGGACUUUGCGCUAUCGGAUUGGCGGCUAAUAUCCGUCAGAAGGACAUCACUCGCAGAAGAAGCACGGCUAACUCCGUGCCAGCAGCCGCGGUAUACGGAGGGUGCGAGCGUUAAUCGGAAUUACUGGGCGUAAAGCGCGCGUAGGUGGUUUGGCACGCCGGUUGUGAAAGCCCCGGGCUCAACCUGGGAACGGCAUCCGGAACGGCCAGACUAGAGUGCAGGAGAGGAAGGUAGAAUUCCCGGUGUAGCGGUGAAAUGCGUAGAGAUCGGGAGGAAUACCAGUGGCGAAGGCGGCCUUCUGGCCUGACACUGACACUGAGGUGCGAAAGCGUGGGUAGCAAACAGGAUUAGAUACCCUGGUAGUCCACGCCGUAAACGAUGUCGACUAGCCGUUGGGACCUUUAAGGACUUAGUGGCGCAGUUAACGCGAUAAGUCGACCGCCUGGGGAGUACGGCCGCAAGGUUAAAACUCAAAUGAAUUGACGGGGGCCCGCACAAGCGGUGGAGCAUGUGGUUUAAUUCGAUGCAACGCGAAGAACCUUACCUACCCUUGACAUCCAGAGACUUGGCAGAGAUGCCUUGGUGCUUCGGGAGCUCUGAGACAGGUGCUGCAUGGCUGUCGUCAGCUCGUGUUGUGAAAUGUUGGGUUAAGUCCCGUAACGAGCGCAACCCUUGUCCUUAUUUGCCAGCACGUAAUGGUGGGAACUCUAAGGAGACUGCCGGUGACGAAAGCCGGCCUCAGUCCGGAUCGGAGUCUGCAACUCGACUCCGUGAAGUCGGAAUCGCUAGUAAUCGUGAAUCAGAAUGUCACGGUGAAUACGUUCCCGGGCCUUGUACACACCGCCCGUCACACCAUGGGAGUGGACUGCACCAGAAGUGGUUAGC